AUUGAACGCUGGCGGCAGGCUUAACACAUGCAAGUCGAGCGGAGUGAUGGUGCUUGCACUAUCACUUAGCGGCGGACGGGUGAGUAAUGCUUAGGAAUCUGCCUAUUAGUGGGGGACAACAUCUCGAAAGGGAUGCUAAUCCCGCAUACGUCCUACGGGAGAAAGCAGGGGAUCACUCGUGACUGUUCGCUAAUAGAUGAGCGUAAGUCGGAUUAGCUAGUUGGUGGGGUAAAGGCCUACCAAGGCGACGAUCUGUAGCGGGUCUGAGAGGAUGAUCCGCCACACUGGGACUGAGACACGGCCCAGACUCCUACGGGAGGCAGCAGUGGGGAAUAUUGGACAAUGGGGGGAACCCUGAUCCAGCCAUGCCGCGUGUGUGAAGAAGGCCUUAUGGUUGUAAAGCACUUUAAGCGAGGAGGAGGCUCUUUUGGUUAAUACCCAAGAUGAGUGGACGUUACUCGCAGAAUAAGCACCGGCUAACUCUGUGCCAGCCGCCGCGGUAA
This 503-nucleotide ribosomal RNA is filed under the name uncultured bacterium. Its description in RNAcentral is "partial 16S ribosomal RNA". It matches the Rfam family "Bacterial small subunit ribosomal RNA", at positions 30 to 523 of the family's 1533-position model. The record is from RNAcentral.